AUUGAACGCUGGCGGCAGGCCUAACACAUGCAAGUCGAGCGAGCGGCGCACGCGUGAGUAUUGUAUGGGGUACUGCGCCAUAGAGGGGGGUAUCCACUCGAAACGGUGUAUCAUACCCCACACUCUCGGAUAACCCCAUAUGGGAUUAUCUAGUAGGUAAGGUAAUGGCUCACCUCGGCGACGAUCCCUCGCUGGUCUGAGAGGAUGAUCAGCCACACUGGAACUGAGACACGGUCCAGAAUCCUACGGGAGGCAGCAGUGGGGAAUAUUGCACAAUGGGCGCAAGCCUGAUGCAGCCAUGCCGCGUGUAUGAAGAAGGCCCUAGGGUUGUAAAGUACGUUCAGGCGGGAGGCGUUACCGACAGAAGAAGCACCGGCUAACUCCGUGCCAGCAGCCGCGGUAAUAC
This 406-nucleotide ribosomal RNA is filed under the name uncultured bacterium. Its description in RNAcentral is "partial 16S ribosomal RNA". It matches the Rfam family "Bacterial small subunit ribosomal RNA", at positions 30 to 526 of the family's 1533-position model. The record is from RNAcentral.